GGGUUGUGAGGUUAAGCGACUAAGCGUACACGGUGGAUGCCCUGGCAGUCAGAGGCGAUGAAGGACGUGCUAAUCUGCGAUAAGCGCCGGUAAGGUGAUAUGAACCGUUAUAACCGGCGAUUUCCGAAUGGGGAAACCCAGUGUGAUUCGUCACACUAUCAUUAACUGAAUCCAUAGGUUAAUGAGGCGAACCGGGGGAACUGAAACAUCUAAGUACCCCGAGGAAAAGAAAUCAACCGAGAUUCCCCCAGUAGCGGCGAGCGAACGGGGAGGAGCCCAGAGCCUGAAUCAGCAUGUGUGUUAGUGGAAGCGUCUGGAAAGGCGCGCGAUACAGGGUGACAGCCCCGUACACAAAAGCGCAUGUGCUGUGAGCUCGAUGAGUAGGGCGGGACACGUGGUAUCCUGUCUGAAUAUGGGGGGACCAUCCUCCAAGGCUAAAUACUCCUGACUGACCGAUAGUGAACCAGUACCGUGAGGGAAAGGCGAAAAGAACCCCGGCGAGGGGAGUGAAAAAGAACCUGAAACCGUGUACGUACAAGCAGUGGGAGCACAGGUUUACCUGUGUGACUGCGUACCUUUUGUAUAAUGGGUCAGCGACUUAUAUUCUGUAGCAAGGUUAACCGAAUAGGGGAGCCGGAGGGAAACCGAGUCUUAAUUGGGCGUUAAGUUGCAGGGUAUAGACCCGAAACCCGGUGAUCUAGCCAUGGGCAGGUUGAAGGUUGGGUAACACUAACUGGAGGACCGAACCGACUAAUGUUGAAAAAUUAGCGGAUGACCUGUGGCUGGGGGUGAAAGGCCAAUCAAACCGGGAGAUAGCUGGUUCUCCCCGAAAGCUAUUUAGGUAGCGCCUCGUGAAUUCAUCUCCGGGGGUAGAGCACUGUUUCGGCUAGGGGGCCAUCCCGGCUUACCAACCCGAUGCAAACUGCGAAUACCGGAGAAUGUUAUCACGGGAGACACACGGCGGGUGCUAACGUCCGUCGUGAAGAGGGAAACAACCCAGACCGCCAGCUAAGGUCCCAAAGUCAUGGUUAAGUGGGAAACGAUGUGGGAAGGCCCAGACAGCCAGGAUGUUGGCUUAGAAGCAGCCAUCAUUUAAAGAAAGCGUAAUAGCUCACUGGUCGAGUCGGCCUGCGCGGAAGAUGUAACGGGGCUAAACCAUGCACCGAAGCUGCGGCAGCGACACUGUGUGUUGUUGGGUAGGGGAGCGUUCUGUAAGCCUGUGAAGGUGGCCUGUGAGGGUUGCUGGAGGUAUCAGAAGUGCGAAUGCUGACAUAAGUAACGAUAAAGCGGGUGAAAAGCCCGCUCGCCGGAAGACCAAGGGUUCCUGUCCAACGUUAAUCGGGGCAGGGUGAGUCGACCCCUAAGGCGAGGCCGAAAGGCGUAGUCGAUGGGAAACGGGUUAAUAUUCCCGUACUUGGUGUUACUGCGAAGGGGGGACGGAGAAGGC
This 1447-nucleotide ribosomal RNA is filed under the name Salmonella enterica subsp. enterica serovar Newport. Its description in RNAcentral is "partial 23S ribosomal RNA". It matches the Rfam family "Bacterial large subunit ribosomal RNA", at positions 1 to 1482 of the family's 2925-position model. The record is from RNAcentral. Lineage: Bacteria; Pseudomonadati; Pseudomonadota; Gammaproteobacteria; Enterobacterales; Enterobacteriaceae.